CCAAGAUGUUGUGUGGAGCUCCUCGCGCCCACCGCUUCUUGCUGCAGUUCCAUCCUGGGCGCGUACCGGUUCCGUACCUCCUCGUGCCCUCACAGGCAGUACGGAGCGCGAGACACUGCACUGCUGCCCGAGACCACUGCAGCACACAGUGGCUCGCGCCUCUGAGCGUAUUUAAAAAAAAUAUACCGUUAAAAAUUUACGAAAAGAAGAAUAAACGGACAGUUAAUCAGCAGCUCGUGUCCUUCAGGUGAAGGUGGUGUAGCGGGCUGGAGUGCAACCUCUUCUUCCUCCAUCCUCUCUCUCACUUUCCUGUCUCUUGUUUGUCCUCUCUCUUUUCCUUCUCUCUCUCUUGUCUGUGUGAUGCUGGGCUGUGGGUGAGUGUAUGCCCGUGAUCAGACUGAAGCUGGGGAAGCUAAAGGUGGUGCGGCGGCAGCUGCUGCAGAGGUAUGAACACCAGCCAUUUGUCUCCUGCCUGGCUGGCCUCUAUGGUUGCCAAUGGAGACGAUACCAAAGAGCUCGGGCGCAGCCGGGAGAGUGCUGCUGCAGCAAGGUGGAGUGUGGCAGCUUUGGCCUCCUGAUCCUCACCUUCUUCCUGAGUUUUCUGUUCCUUUAUUUCUGGAGUGAAGCUCAGAAUGACUACAAUGACUUCGACUGGUUUAAUUUCGGAACUCUUGGUUUCUGGUUUCCCUGGUCUUUGGUCCUGCUGGUCAUUGCUGCUGCUCUCUUCACGUACAUCGCCCUACUACUGGUGCUGGCAGUGUGUCUGCUUUCUGAGGGUCAAAGGUUGUACCUCCACUGGAGCCACAAGACGGGCAUUAUGGUGGCCUUGGCGUUCUCCAUCACAGCCACCGCCAUCCUAUCUGACCUCUGGAGCAAAGAAUGGAAGACUCUUCUUCUCUCCCUGCAGGUGACAGCACCUUUCCUCCAUGUGGCGGCUCUCUCACUAAUGGCAAUCGUGUCCUGGCCAGUAGCAUUGCACUUCUUCCGCAUGAACAAGAAAGUGUGUCAGGUGGCUCUCCUGGGUCUCUACCUGUCUGUGCUGUUCUCUCUCUACCUGGUUCCUCUGGGAAUGUACUCUCCCUGCAUUAAAGAGGCUGGGACCCUGGGGCCUGCCCCAGCACUCAUCGGACACAGAGGAGCUCCAAUGCUUGCUCCAGAGAACACCGUCAUGUCCUUUGAGAAGGCAGUGGAAGCUGGAGGAGAAGGGCUAGAGACUGAUGUCACCAUCAGUUAUGAUGGUAUUCCCUUCCUGAUGCAUGAUUCCACUCUGAGGAGAACCACUAACAUUGCAGAGGUUUUCCCAAAUCGAACACUCCUUGAUGCCUCCAUGUUCACUUGGGCUGAGCUACAGCAGCUGAAUGCUGGCGAUUGGUUCUUAUCAAGGGAUCCAUUUGGGACUGUGUCGUCCCUGUCUGAGGUGGACCACUACCAGGCCCAGAACCAGUCUAUUCCCUCACUGGCCCAGUUCCUGGAGGUAGCGGCCCGUAGUGGCAAAUUAGUGCUGUUUGACCUGCGCAGGCCACCGUACGGGCAUCCUUACAGCGAGUCCUACAUCAGCACCACUUUGCAGGUGGUGCAGGCCCACAUCAACUCCUCACAGGUGCUGUGGCUGCCAUCUAAAGACAGGGAGCUGGUCCAGGCUGUGGACCCAGACCUGCAGCAGACCUCUGGAGCAAAGGCUUCAAUUCAGGAACUGACAGACGCCCAUAUCACCAGACUGAACCUGCACUACAGCACUAUGUCUCAGCAACAGAUCAGUAAGUACCAGUCAGUGAACAUCAGUACUAACCUGUAUGUGAUCAGCCAGCCAUGGCUCUACACUCUGGCCUGGUGUGCAGGAGCUCAGUCUGUAACCACCAACUCCGUCCACAUCCUGUCCAACAUCAACAAGCCACUCUUCCUCAUGACUCCAGAGGAAUAUAGCCUAAUGUGGAUUCUGACUGAUGCCGUGUCCGCCUUCCUUGUCAUUGCAAUUUUCACAUUCCAUUGGUGGAGAGAGAGGGGCCUGCCCUUCUGGUCCAGCAGCCGACAGACUCAAGAGAACGGACCAUACAGCAAGUUCAGGACAGACUCUUCAGAGGUCAUCUGUGUUGGCUGGAGCCCCCUCCACUCUGAUUCCUCUGCUGGAGCCCUUGUCUCCCUCCCUAUGGUCUUCAACCCAUGACACCUUGCUUGUCAGACAUGCAUGUCAGCCCUCCAGGACGCUUGCAUGAAUCCUGAACCCUGUUUGCGCUGUACAAGUCCAUGCUUCCUGUUGAAAACUAGCCUCUGUGAAGCCUAUACACUACAGAUCCAAAGUUUUAGAACACCCCCAUUUUUCCAGUUUUUAUUUUGACAUGUGAGCAGUUCAAGUCCAGCGGAUCAUCUUAAAUGGUACCAAACUAAGACCUAAACUGCCAGAGGUUAAAAAAGGCGCCAGAAACUAAAAACAUAACAUUUCUUAUACAGUAAAAACAUUCUUUUAUCAGGGACCCAGUAACAGGUGAACUUCCAUCUUUUCUGCAACAGUGGACAUAAAUGAAGCCUUGAAAACUGAUGCAAACGAUUCCUACAGGUUUUUCCAACAGUUGUUGAUGAGUUAGUACAAAGGCAGUGUUGGGAAAAGUCUGAGCUACUGCAGCCUCUGAAAAAAGGCCAUGAAUAAAGGAAGUCGGAGCUUCUCAGGGUUUCAUCCUGUAGCAGGAUAAUGAGCCACAAACACCUUCAGGCUGUGGAGAAAAGAACAAGACGGUCGGCUUCAUGUGUCGGAACGGCAGCAACGGGGUCCAGACUUUCCAGAUGAAGAGUGAAAACAAGGCAGCCUAGCUGAGUGACGUGUGGUCCAUCUCCAGCAUCAAUGUGCGGCCUGACCUCCGGAGCAUGCCCAGUUCACCCAGUACCCCUCACCUGC
RNA transcript from Monopterus albus (swamp eel), 2890 nucleotides. It is a transcript of the gene named glycerophosphodiester phosphodiesterase domain containing 4a, with no coding region annotated. NCBI's taxonomy places the organism in Eukaryota, Metazoa, Chordata, Actinopteri, Synbranchiformes, Synbranchidae. The transcript has 18 exons. The record is from RefSeq and is a predicted model, not a curated record.